GAUGAACGCUGGCGGCGUGCCUAAUACAUGCAAGUCGAGCGAACAGACGAGGAGCUUGCUCCUCUGACGUUAGCGGCGGACGGGUGAGUAACACGUGGAUAACCUCCCUAUAAGACUGGGAUCACUUCGGGAAACCGGCGCUAAUCCCGGAUAAUAUAUUGAACCGCAUGGUUCAAUAGUGAAAUACGGUUUUUCUGUCACUUCUCGCUGCUUCCGCGCCGCAUUAGCUAGUUGGUAAGGUAACGGCUUACCAAGGCGACGAUGCGUAGCCGACCUGAGAGGGGGAUAGGCCACACGGGAAGGGAGACACGGACCAGAGGACUAAGGGAGGCAGCAGUAGGGAAUGGGACGCAAUGGGCGAAAGCAUGACGGAGCAACGGCGCGUGAGUGAUGAAGGUGUUCGGAUCGUAAAACUCGGUUAUGAGGGAAGAACAAAUGUGGAAGGAAAUAUGCACGGAGUGACGGUAACUAAUAAGAAAGCCACGGCUAACUACGUG
Molecule: ribosomal RNA, 497 nt
Filed under: uncultured bacterium
Lineage: Bacteria
Description: partial 16S ribosomal RNA
Rfam family: Bacterial small subunit ribosomal RNA
Source: RNAcentral